GCAAAAUAAAUAAAUAAAUAAAAAUCACUAAAAAAAGAAAAAGAAAGAAAAUAAAACAAGCAACAGUUGAAAAAAGAAUACAUUUCAACUCUGAGGAUAUUAUAAUUCAGUAAGACAUUUCCUGUAUGAACUACAAUAUUUGUUUGCCAAAUGAAAAUAUCACACCUUACAUUAUUUCAUUAUUUAUCAAAUAAAAUUUCCAAGUGGUCUCAUUGUACAGGAUUGAAGCAAUUUUUUUGUUUUCUUCAUGGUUCUGGGAACUGAACCCAGAGCCUUAGCAUGUUCUAGGCAAGUGCUCCACCACUGAGCUAUGUCCCCAGCCAUGAAGCGACGUUUUAAGUUGUUUCUCGAUCUUUGCAGUCAUGAUUCGUUUGUCAUUUGUUCUGAAUCUGAUUAAAUGCAGGAACACGGAGCACCUAAUAAGAGUUGGACAUAAGAACUGAGUCUGAAGCUAGCUCUAAGAAUUCCAAGCCUCCAUGAACUCCUCAUGAAAUAAACGUGUUGGGCAAAAAAAUACCAAAACAAAAUGUUCCUCCACCCUCCCGCAAAAAAAGGUGAGAGAUGAUGAAUAUGUUAUAAUCUUUCUCCCAUGUACACACAACAUCAAUUGAGCCCCUUAAAUAUAUACAAUUAAUUUCAGUCAAAUAAAUGAAUAAUAAAAGGACUGUUUAAAAAUAAUCUAGUUAAUAAAUGGGCAAAUGAACUAAACAGACUCUUUUCAAAAGAAGAAAUACAAAGGCCAACAAGUAUAUGAAGGGAUGUUUAAAAUCUUGAGCAAUUAGAGAAAUACAAAUCAAAAGUACACUGAGAUGUCAUCUCACACCAGUCAGACUGGCAGCCGUCAAGACUAUAAACAGAAAAAAAAAAAAAGACUAUAAACAGUAAUAAACUUUGGAGAGGAUGUGGGGAAAAGGAACACUUUUACACAGUUGGCAGGAUUGUAAAUUAGUACAACCACUAUGGAAAUCAGUGUGGAAGUUCUUCAAAAGGCAAGGAACCACCAUAUGACCCAGUUAUACCACUCUUCUGUAUUUAUUCUAAAGAAUCAAAGUCAUUAUGCUACAGUGCUAUAUGCAUAUCCAUGUUUAUAGCAGCACAAUUCACCAUGGUGGGAUUAUGGAACCUGUCUAGGUGUCUAUCAGUGGAUGAAUGGAUUAAAAAAAAUAUAUAUAUAUAUAUAUACACACACACACACACACACACAUAUACACACACUUGGGUUUUAUUCAGUCAUAAAGAAGAAUAAAAUUAUGUAUUUGCAGGAAAAUGGAUGGAACUUGAGAGCAUUAUGUUAAUGAAAAUAAGCCAGACUCAGAAAGUCAAGAACACAUUAUCUCUCAUAUAUGGAAGCUAGAAAGGAAAAAGGAAAAGAAUAGUGUGUGUGUAGGGAUCUCACUAAAAUCAAAGAGAGGGCAGGGGUUGUGGCUCAGUGAUAAAGUGCUCGCCUAGCAUGUGCAAGUGAUAUAUGAUAUUGACAAAAUUAUAUUGUUACAUGGUAUGUGUGUAUGAAUAUGUAACAAUGAGUCCCACUAUCAUAUAUAAUUGUAAUGCAUCAAUAAAAAUAUGGAAAAAAAUAUAACACUAAUGAGCAUAAAAAAUGAACAUUUUGGGGACUACCUGUAUCACUGAGAAUUCUUAGAAAUAAUUUUCAUGAAAAUGAUAAUAUUUAUCUA
RNAcentral lists this long non-coding RNA (1673 nucleotides) under Marmota monax (woodchuck). Lineage: Eukaryota; Metazoa; Chordata; Mammalia; Rodentia; Sciuridae. The record is from RNAcentral.